AAUGCUUGGGAAUCUGGCUUAUGGAGGGGGAUAACUGUGGGAAACUGCAGCUAAUACCGCGUAUUCUCUGAGGAGGAAAGGGUGGGACCUUAGGGCCACCUGCCAUAAGAUGAGCCCAAGUGGGAUUAGGUAGUUGGUGGGGUAAAGGCCUACCAAGCCUGCGAUCUCUAGCUGGUCUGAGAGGAUGACCAGCCACACUGGAACUGAGACACGGUCCAGACUCCUACGGGAGGCAGCAGUGGGGAAUAUUGCGCAAUGGGGGGAACCCUGACGCAGCCAUGCCGCGUGAAUGAAGAAGGCCUUCGGGUUGUAAAGUUCUUUCGGUAAUGAGGAAGGGAUGUUGUUAAAUAGAUAGCAUCAUUGACGUUAAUUACAGAAGAAGCACCGGCUAACUCCGUGCCAGCAGCCGCGGUAAUACGGAGGGUGCGAGCGUUAAUCGGAAUAACUGGGCGUAAAGGGCACGCAGGCGGACUUUUAAGUGAGAUGUGAAAUCCCCGAGCUUAACUUGGGAACUGCAUUUCAGACUGGGAGUCUAGAGUACUUUAGGGAGGGGUAGAAUUCC
This 562-nucleotide ribosomal RNA is filed under the name Pasteurella multocida. RNAcentral describes it as "bacterial SSU rRNA". It matches the Rfam family "Bacterial small subunit ribosomal RNA", at positions 112 to 670 of the family's 1533-position model. Lineage: Bacteria; Pseudomonadati; Pseudomonadota; Gammaproteobacteria; Pasteurellales; Pasteurellaceae. The record is from RNAcentral.